UAUCUUACGGGUUUCUCGUUUUAAUUCUUCCUAUAUGUAACUAAUUCUAUUUGUACAACGGUUGAUGUGGAUCACGUGAGGAUUAUCCUAGAUUCUUGCAUUAGAAUGCUACCAGGCACACGUGUGAACUAGGAGGUAACUAGUUUAUUUGAUUGAUAAUGGGUAGAAAAUUUCAAUGUAACUUCGGGGAUGUUCAUAUCUAAGGAACCUGACUCUAUAAUGCCUUGAAUGAAUUCAACACCUGAUAUGGCGAUUAUUUAAAGCUAAUUUAGUAUUUUGACCGUUCUGUCAUUUCAUAGUGAGUUUCAUUCGUUGGUUUGCUUCAUUCUAGAGUAAUAAAAUUUAUUUUAUUUACAUAAUGAAUGUUGUUUAAACCUACAAAUAUUCUUUCAAAAUGGCAAAGACUUUAGAAUAAAGAAGACCAAUAUUAUGUCAGAAUAAGGAAGGGCAAUAUUCAUUGGGUUCUCUUAGAAAGUUCUUUGGUUAUGAGCAUGUAGUAUGCAUUAUGUUAGACUCACUAAAGUUUUUAAUGGUAUUUCAUAGGAUUUAAUAAUGUAUAUUUUUUGGCAGAGAUAUGAGCAUUGCCUAUAUUAGAAUAUGAAGGUAAAUGUGUUCUCACAUAAUGGUAUUAAUACAGAAUGUGAUUCUUGUCUGAUGUUAGUCUCACAUAAUGUCAUUCUCAUAAAAAAGGUUGGAAUCAAGUCGACCAUGGACCAUUGAAGAAGAUCAAACAUUUAUUUAAGCAAUGUAUGUUUAAGCAUGCUAUGUUUUUUAAGACAUUAUUUUAUUUUUCUGACAUUCUAUUAGAAUACGUAUAAAUGUAUUAAAUUGUAUAGCACUAUUAUUUUAUAAGAAUAUGUGUGAAUCUACAUUAAGAUUUCCAUGAAUAUACAACGAUCUUGUUAUUUUUCAACUAAUGGUUCAAGAAUAUUGUCUUCAUUCAAGAAGUUCAUUUAGUCACAAUAUUUAUUAUGUAAGAAAUAUGUAUAUUGACAUUCUUAAAGAAUAUUAUUCUGAAAGAACAAAAUCUGGUAUAAUUAAAAAUUACGUUAGAAUUAAAAUUAAAUUAAUUAAAAAAAUCAGAAUUAAUAAAUCAAAAGAAUUAAUUAUCCACCAAAAUUGGAAUUUUACAUUUUUAAAUUUAUCUCACUUGAUUAAAAUACCGUAAUAUUGAAAUUAGAUGAUAUUUUUAAUUCAAUAAUAUUUAUUAAUCAAUUUCUUUAAAUAACUAAAAUGAUUGAUCCACAAUCAAUCAUACAUCAAAACAAUUGAUAGAUAGAAAUUAAUAACCUAGCCNUAUAUAUAUAUAUAUAUAUGUAGGUUGGUAGGUAGGUUUAUUUGUUCUAACUAUCUAUUGUAUGUAUAUAUAGUUGAUUGUGGAUCAAUAAAAAAAUUAUUAAAUAAAUAUGGGUAACUUGGUAAUUUGAUAAAUAACUUCCAUAAAUACGCCCUCCCUGAAAUCAUGGUACAUUGACUUUUAACCUAAUUUCUCUCCAUAUUUAUCUACAACUAUUCUCGCUCACCACUUUCGAAAACCAUAUUCCCCUAAUCACGUCUGUAACCAUUCCUUUUCCCUCUGUUUUUCAUACAUUGGUCCCUUCACUAUAGAUUAUGGCGUCACAACCUAGGAGGGAAACACCCACCCCAUUCAUUUGUGUAUGUGAUUUAGGUUUGUCAUUAAUAAUGUGAUGGUGGUGAGGCAGUCCAAGGAGAUAGCAACGACCAUGGUGGACAUAUUCUUUGUGAAAGUCAUGCCCACAUGCUCGUCGACAGCCUGUACCAUUCACUUGUCAAUGCACUUUUAAUCAAGGUAAUUUCUUAUUACCUUUUAUGAACAUACACAACCAACUCUAUCAUUCUCGAUAAGAUAACCUCCUUCCAGUGAGAUUUACCUGAAACACAUGAUGGUCUAAUAAAGUUUUUAUUGCAUUUUGUAGAAGUUAUGAGUCUAGGAUUAGAGAUCAGAAAGACAAACCAAUUAGAAUAUAUGUUUCUCUAGUGAUACUUCUCUGUCCUGUUGAAUAUGGGUGUAUUGAUGAACUUUAUGUGAAGAACAUAAUCUAAUUGCGGUCAGAUUGUUUUUAAACAGUUUUUGGCCGCCCAUGAGUAAAUCCCCAAAAAGUUUACUAUUUCAUACAUUAUUAAUUUAAAUAGUUAAUGUUUAGAUAUUAUCAAUUUUUUUUUAUAAUUUAUGUUCUACGUUAUGACUAGAAACCUGGGAAUCUUCAUUUGCCAUGUUUAUUGUUUUGAUCCCUAAUCUAUGUGGUGCUUCCUAAACGUUGAUUUGAUUAUGUAUGAAGUGUUGUUGCUGAAUUCUGUUUGUUUUUUCUUGAUGUUUAGUAUCAGAUAAAUCCUCAAUUAUUAUUAUUUUUUUGUAAUUAAUUUCUGCUCUCUCUCUGUUCUUGCAUAUUUAUUAUGUUUUGCUGCAUGUAAAUCCCCCAACUAGAUUAGUUGAAGGCAUGCAGUAUAUCAAUCUCCAAUCAAAAUUAUGGUUUUUUUUAAUUCUUUUUAUAUGUAAUAUUAGUUGAAGGUAUUGACAAUAGUUAAUUCAUAUCACACCCUGGUAAUCGAUAUGCUUUCAGCUUAUUCAUAUUUUGUAUUUUUUUUUUUGUGUCUUAUGGGUUUCUCGUUUUAUUCUUUCUAUAUGUAACUUAUUCUAUUUGUACAACGGUUGAUGUGGAUCAAGUGAGGAUUAUCCCAGAUUCUUGCAUUAAAAUGCUACCAGCCAUAAGUGGGAAUUAGGAGGUAAUUAGUUUAUUUGAUUGAUAAUGGGUAUAAAAUUUCAGUGUAAUGUUGUAUUUUAUGGUUGAUCUUUGUUUUUUUUUGUUUCUUUGUUUUAGCCUUUUUU
This 2848-nucleotide long non-coding RNA is filed under the name Lactuca sativa (garden lettuce). Its description in RNAcentral is "long non-coding RNA (LSAT_LNC004080)". The record is from RNAcentral. Lineage: Eukaryota; Viridiplantae; Streptophyta; Magnoliopsida; Asterales; Asteraceae.